GGCGUUAUCUCAUUUUGGAACCAAACUGUAAAAAAACUGAGUUAUCUUGUUUUGGAACCAAACUUGAAAAAAAAAACGAUUUGUUCCAAAACAAGAUAACUCCGUUGGUUCCAAAACGAGACAACUCCGUUUUUUUUUAAAAGUUUGGUUCCAAAACAAGAUAACUCCGGGGUUUGUUUUUUUAAGUUUGGUUCCAAAACAAGAUAACUCCGGGGUUUUUUUAAGUUUGGUUCCAAAACGAGAUAACUCAGUUUUUUUUAAGUUUGGUUCCAAAACAAGAAAACUCCGGGUUUUUUUAAAAGUUUUGUCCCAAAACGAGACAACUCCGUUUUUUACAGUUUAGUUCCAAAACGAGAUAACUCCGUUUUUUUUUAAAGUUUGGUUACAAAACUAGAUAACUUUGGUUCCAAAGCGAGAUAACGGUUUUUCAAAAAUCUCGUUUUUUGAUUGUGCAUUCCAAUAAAUAUCAAUCAAACUGCAGUUGGUUUGUUUUGAUAACCAACUGCAGGAGUUAACUUGUUUUUGAACCAAACUCUUCAUUUUCUGUAUUGCUUUACAGAUGAAUAGGUUAGUGAAUCUGUGAAAAAGUCAUGUAUAGAAAAGGCUAUCAUAUGUAUUGAUCUGACGCCCUAUUUGUAAGCUUCAUCAGCUGCAAAGUUAACCCUGCUGCAUUUUUGUACAUAUCUUCUCAUUAGAUAUGCCAGUUGAAUUAGCUUGAUUGUGCAGAAGUCAUUGUGCAUUUUUUAUUGUUUUUUAAAUGUAAUUAAGGUGUCAUUAUAGUGUGGAAAAGUUCUCUGUUGUGUUUUAAUGGCAGCUUUACGGUCCAGUGUCAAUGAUUUUAACUACAUUUUUGUGAAUCUCUUUUUACAAAUAUUUUCAUUACAAAGUUGCGCCAAGAGGUUUCACAACCUCAGGUUUGUUUGCAAUAAAAUUGUGUUUAAAGACAGGGUGAUAGGGAUAAAUGACAGAUAUAUAAUACAGUUACAGUGUAUUCAAAACUAUUUUUCUGUAAAUCAAAUACAUUUGUGUAAUUAACUUUAUUGCAAUUGUGUGGUAACUGUUGUUUCUAAACGGUAAAUGCUUGCCAUCAGCCUUGAGUGUACUGCUGAAUUAUUCAAUCAGGUUGGUAUUUAAAAUGAUGUAUUAUGAUUGUUUGUGAAAACUGGAGUUAUUAUAUUUAGAGUUAUUAUAUUUAGCAUAUACAUUCACUGUAUAAAUGUGCUCAUUAAAGACUGAGUUCAUUAA
Molecule: long non-coding RNA, 1245 nt
Organism: Paramisgurnus dabryanus
Lineage: Eukaryota; Metazoa; Chordata; Actinopteri; Cypriniformes; Cobitidae
Source: RefSeq, a predicted model, not a curated record